This 107-nucleotide small nuclear RNA is filed under the name Dasypus novemcinctus (nine-banded armadillo). Lineage: Eukaryota; Metazoa; Chordata; Mammalia; Cingulata; Dasypodidae. The record is from RNAcentral.
UUGCUUGUUUGGGCAGCAGUCAUGCUAAAAUUGGAACGAUACAGGAAAGAUUAGCAUGGCCCCUGUACAAGUUUGACAUACAAAUUUGUGAAGCAUUCUGCGGGUGU